ACAAGCGGAGGAGCAUGUGGUUAAUUCGAUGAUACGCGAGGAACCUACCUGGGCUCGAACGUAAGAUGACUGUAGGUGAAAGCUUACAUCUCUUCGGAGCAUUUUACGAGGUGCUGCAUGGUUGUCGUCAGCUCGUGCCGUGAGGUGUCGGGUUAAGUCCCAUAACGAGCGCAACCCCUACCUUUAGUUGCCAUCAGGUAAUGCUGGGGACUCUAAAGGAACUGCCUACGCAAGUAGUGAGGAAGGCGGGGAUGACGUCAAAUCAGCACGGCCCUUACGUCCAGGGCUACACACGUGCUACAAUGGCCGAUACAGAGGGCAGCUACCUGGUGACAGGAUGCAAAUCUCCAAAGUCGGUCUCAGUUCGGAUCGGAGUCUGCAACCCGACUCCGUGAAGUUGGAUUCGCUAGUAAUCGCGCAUCAGCCAUGGCGCGGUGAAUACGUUCCCGGGCCUU
RNAcentral lists this ribosomal RNA (455 nucleotides) under uncultured Sphingobacteriales bacterium. RNAcentral describes it as "bacterial SSU rRNA". It matches the Rfam family "Bacterial small subunit ribosomal RNA", at positions 925 to 1382 of the family's 1533-position model. The record is from RNAcentral. Lineage: Bacteria; Pseudomonadati; Bacteroidota; Sphingobacteriia; Sphingobacteriales.